ACCAAAUCUUCAUCCUCUAUAAUAUUUGCUGCACCAUUCGUUUCUCCUGUCUCUGCAGCAAAACAAUUAUUCUUUAAUUUCCUACUCAAGAAAUUGAGAACCAAAUUCGAGAGAGGGAGCUCUCGAUAAUUCUCUCAAAAUCCGUUGAAGGUUAUCUUUGCAUGUUAAAGUUGGAGAGAGAAUUUCAAGUUAAGGAAAUUAGACGAACAAGGUUGAGCAGCGAAGUGGUGGAGGAAGUGCUAUUGACACAAG
Molecule: long non-coding RNA, 252 nt
Organism: Salvia splendens (bonfire salvia)
Lineage: Eukaryota; Viridiplantae; Streptophyta; Magnoliopsida; Lamiales; Lamiaceae
Exons: 4
Source: RefSeq, a predicted model, not a curated record